RNAcentral lists this ribosomal RNA (459 nucleotides) under uncultured bacterium. Its description in RNAcentral is "partial 16S ribosomal RNA". It matches the Rfam family "Bacterial small subunit ribosomal RNA", at positions 338 to 795 of the family's 1533-position model. The record is from RNAcentral.
CCUACGGGCGGCUGCAGUGAGGAAUAUUGGUCAAUGGCCGCAGGGCUGAACCAGCCAAGUCGCGUGAGGGAUGACGGUCCUAUGGAUUGUAAACCUCUUUUGUCAGGGAGCAAAGGGCGCCACGUGUGGCGUUUUGCGAGUACCUGAAGAAAAAGCAUCGGCUAACUCCGUGCCAGCAGCCGCGGUAAUAAGGAGGAGGCGAGCGUUAUCCGGAUUUAUUUGGUUUAAGGGGUGCGCAGGCGGAAUGUCAAGUCAGCGGUAAAAUUUCGGGGCUCAACCCCGUCGUGCCGUUGAAACUGGCGGUCUUGAGGGAGCGAGAAGGAGGCGGAAUGCGUGGUGUAGCGGUGAAAUGCAUAGAGAUCACGCAGAACUCCGAUUGCGAAGGCAGCAUACCGGCGCUCAACUGACGCUCAUGCACGAAAGCGUGGGUAUCGAACAGGAUUAGAUACCCUGGUAGUC